Molecule: ribosomal RNA, 402 nt
Filed under: Streptococcus cristatus
Lineage: Bacteria; Bacillati; Bacillota; Bacilli; Lactobacillales; Streptococcaceae
Description: bacterial SSU rRNA
Rfam family: Bacterial small subunit ribosomal RNA
Source: RNAcentral
GGCGGCGUGCCUAAUACAUGCAAGUAGAACGCUGAAGGAGGAGCUUGCUCUUCUGGAUGAGUUGCGAACCGGGUGAGUAACGCGUAGGUAACCUGCCUGGUAGCGGGGGAUAACUAUUGGAAACGAUAGCUAAUACCGCAUAACAUUGACUAUUGCAUGAUAGUUAAUUGAAAGGUGCAAAUGCACCACUACCAGAUGGACCUGCGUUGUAUUAGCUAGUUGGUGGGGUAACGGCUCACCAAGGCGACGAUACAUAGCCGACCUGAGAGGGUGAUCGGCCACACUGGGAUGAGACACGGCCCAGACUCCUACGGGAGGCAGCAGUAGGGAAUCUUCGGCAAUGGACGGAAGUCUGACCGAGCAAACGCCGCCGUGAGUGAAAGAAAGGUUUUUCGGGAUUCG